RNAcentral lists this ribosomal RNA (460 nucleotides) under uncultured bacterium. RNAcentral describes it as "partial 16S ribosomal RNA". It matches the Rfam family "Bacterial small subunit ribosomal RNA", at positions 338 to 795 of the family's 1533-position model. The record is from RNAcentral.
CCUACGGGUGGCAGCAGUGAGGAAUAUUGGUCAAUGGACGAGAGUCUGAACCAGCCAAGUAGCGUGAAGGAUGACUGCCCUAUGGGUUGUAAACUUCUUUUAUAUGGGAAUAAAAUGUUCCACGUGUGGGAUUUUGUAUGUACCAUAUGAAUAAGGAUCGGCUAACUCCGUGCCAGCAGCCGCGGUAAUACGGAGGAUCCGAGCGUUAUCCGGACUUAUUGGGUUUAAAGGGAGCGUAGGUGGAUUGUUAAGUCAGUUGUGAAAGUUUGCGGCUCAACCGUAAAAUUGCAGUUGAAACUGGCAGUCUUGAGUACAGUAGAGGUGGGCGGAAUUCGUGGUGUAGCGGUGAAAUGCUUAGAUAUCACGAAGAACUCCGAUUGCGAAGGCAGUUCACUGGACUGCAACUGACACUGAGGCUCGAAAGUGUGGGUAUCAAACAGGAUUAGAUACCCGAGUAGUC